UGCUCACCACUUGGUGGCAGGAGUAAGGUGGGUUUGACUUCCAGGUGUGUUGGCUGGGAGAUUUAGAUGGGCUUCCCCAACGGCUUCCAGGAGAAAAUUAAAACAGGAAAUCGACCCUCAUAAAAGGCAAGCUCGAAAUGAUAGUCUCGGCGGGGUGUUCGAUGGGCUGUGGAUAGAGCCAUGGACAAAACAAGCUAUAGCCCUGCCCCACGCUCUAGUGGGAGGCACAUCCAGCGUACAGGAUGCAGGAUUUCACCCUGGGAGACAGUGCUGACAUGCUUCUAGGAUGGUUCUUGGGAGUCUGGAGAAAGUGAUGACCCACACUAAUUGAAACAUAAAUGUCAUAAUUGCUGUGGCAAAUGGUGGAGGAAGGAACCGAGAGUCCGGCCUACUAAUGUGCAGACAGCACGAGCGGCUGGAAACAGAACACCAGCCACCAUGCUUCACAGAAGGGCCCGGCACACAGUCUGCCAGACCACCAGGGACUGGCAGGGCGAGAGGUGCCAGGCUCACUGGGGCCAGCAGUUCUGUCCCCUGUAACCGGAGCAGGAGACAGCUGCUGCUGUCAUAGACGGGACCCCACAGUGGGUGGCAGCGCGUAAAUAUGGAAAGGAGGCGGACAGCCACUGUCAGAGCAGCACGGCUGGCAUGUGCACUGGGGAGGGGACAGGUAGGCAGGCAGCCACAGAGCUAAUUACACAGUCAGGGGACGCCUGUCCUUUGCCCCGUCUCCAGGCCUGAGCCAGCCUGUGACCUCUGUGACCACUGGCUGAAGUGGAGGCUGGCUGGAUCCUUAUGAGGAAGAACGGCACAAAACACAGCGGAUGCAAACUGUCAGGACAUCCAUGCCUUCCCCAAAGGCCACCCUUAGGUCACCAUCCACAGAGGAAAGGGGGUUACCCAGACACUUCAAGGACUCUUGGACCCAGGGUUCAGGGUGACAUUAAUACUUGGGGAUCGAAAGACUCACAAUGCCCAGUGAGUCAUCUGGUCCCAAGCAGUAGUCACUUCUCCACGUACAUACUUGGAGGGCACACCUGGUACCUGGAAGGACCCUGGCUUUGCUUCCUUGACAUGGAGGGAGCCAUCCUAGGCUAAAAGGCCAAGCAGACGCCUCUGACCGUGCAGUCCCCUUGCCAAGGCAGCAGAUCAGAUCAACACAUCCCUGGGGACUGCAGAGGUCUGAGCCAUCCUCAAGGAUUUAAGGGAUGAAGGCUUAGCAGGCCCCAUUGUAUUCCAUUUAAAUAAUUAUUUUGGCCGUACGGAAACCAACCAUGACUUCUGACAGUGGACCACAGCAAAUCUACCAAGCAGAAGCGCCAAAUACAGCUCUGAAAUGGAUGUGACCAGGGCCAGCAUGGCCGCUGGGCCUCAGCCCUGCUUUCAAGCAUGGCUGCUGAAGCACUGUCUCCACACCUACCAGCAGGGAGGGUCAGCAGAGUCGGUCACACAGGGCAGCGCCUGCACCUGGGCUUGGGCACCGAGGCUGUGGUACCUCUCCAUCUUCAUCAGACAGGAUGAAGGGACAUGGGCCCUCUGGACACUGUGCAGACCAUCACGUUGGUCCACUAUAUUAACAACAUCAUGUUACGGGGGCCAGAGAAGCAAGAGUGACAAGCAUGCUGAAGACAUGGAGAAGACAUGCUCUCCAGGGGGUGGCAGGGAAACCCUAAGCAACUCAGAGACUCACGGCAUCCGUGGAGGUUUAGGAGCGCUCAGUCGGGACGUGUCCCCUGUAAAUCCCUCCCAGAGCAAAGUACUGGGGACAAAAGUCUUGACCGUCAGUCCACUUCAGGUCCAAGAGGGGCACAGUCCACACUUAGGAAUGACACCCCUUCCGUAUGCUUGGUGACACCCAAGGGGCCAGCUUGGGGUGGCCCAGAGCAGGGAAGGGCAUCACAGCACAUCCAGCCUGCACUGCAAGCAGCCCCUCUGCUUGAGCCAGGCGGGCAGAACCACAGCAACAGGGACCCCUGUGGCGGGACAGGACACGGCAUGGAACUCAGGACCAGCCUGGUGGAGAGUCAGUGCAGACCCUAGAGUGGGGCCGCCAGGCCAGUCUCACCCCUUCCCUCGUCACCCAGCACAGAGCCACACGACAGCUCCCGGCCCUGACAGAGAUGGGAUCUCUGGCCGUGGGAUGUGAAGUGACUGUAGCCAGUAUGUCCCCCGGGGCUGGGCUCCGUCAGGUCCACUCUGUCACAGGUCAGAGCGCCCAGCAGCAAUCCAUCAGGAGACGGAAGGUGCAUCUGGGACAGGCUCGAGCAGGCUCAAGUGGCAGUGCAUCCCAUCCACCCGCCCCUGUGCUCACAUGAGGGGGGCUUUGCGGCCCCCUGAUGGAGGAAGAAGAGGGCUGCCCUCGGUCCAGUGAUGGGCUGCCUCAGUAGGGGGCACAGGCUGAACAUGGACGGUUCUGAAGGAUGGGGGCAGGAGCACGCUUCUCCCUGACACCAAAGCACCGGUUCCGGCCGCGGGUGCAGUGGGACUCGGUGCCCUGUCCAUCUCGCUGGCCUCAGGAGACCAGAGCCCCUCCUGCUCGACUCUGUGGACUGUCCAGGGGGACCCUAGAGUGGCAGGGACGUGGCACAGUGGACGCCUUACCCUAAAGCUGAAGUCAACCACCAAACUGUCGGAGGCCCUGCCAGAGCUGCCGGAAAAGCCUGGGGGCAGCCCUCUCCAGAGCCCCCUGCGAGGCGGGGCCCCCGCUGCCUGUGGGGAAGUGCCUGGGAAUUUAUCGCUACAAUUAGUGUCUGUUUUAUAGUUUCUGUUACUGGCAGCCAAGGACACAGAAGCCCUUUCCAGAAAAAUCCAGGGGGUCCUGGUGCUGCUGGGCCCAGGGGCGGGCAGGGCUGCUGCCUCGGAGGUCCGCACCUGCUGCCUCACCCUCCCUCCCCGAGUGCACACUCUCAGCUCUGCCUUCAUUUCUUCUUUCCCUUCAGGCAGAACUCUCUAGAUUGAAUCACAAUGCUGUUGGAAUGGCCAAAACCAACGCGGUUCAGCUCUGCGUGGGGCUUGACUGUCAGCGACCAAAGACAGGACAGCUCCUGGUCUCGAAAGAACGAAGUCUGUAUAAAUGACACUGAAAAUGAACCCGAGGCCCUCCGGGAAAAGUGUUGAGGGCCAGACCCUUCCCUGGCUGCUCAGACCCAUGCAGACCCUCACCUGUGCAAUGCCAGAGGGCACAGUACACGCACCCCGCAGGCAACCCCUCCCGCUGACGCUGCGCCCUGCAGAAGGAGCCUUGCGCGAGGGGUGUAGUGGUCUCAGAGGGUCUGCACUCCCCUCCCUCUGCUCCUGCCCCUGCACGUAUGGCCAAGUCCUCUGUCCCUCUCCAAGACACACGUUGUCCACGCCACCUCCGGGAGGAAUCCAGCCACAGACGGGCUCCCCUUCCCACAGACAUAUGCCACUCAUCCUCCCUGCCCUGGGCGCUGCUCUGGGUUGGACUGUUACUCGCUCGCUCUCUGUAAUAUAUAUGUUUUCACGCUUCAUGCAGCUUAAAAGCUCAAAUCGUAGGCCUUUUCUUUGCCCCCAACAGCACCAAGCAAAGUACAUAUGUUGUAUGAUGCAGGUCUUCAACAGACCUCUGGCUGGGGUGGCCUACAUGUCCCUGCUGGGUUCCAGAGAGGAAGGCCUGGGCUGAUGUAAGCACCGCCCACAUCAGUGCCUACCGCCAGGCGUGGCAACUAGAAUUAAAGCGAGCUCUCCGUCCCCUCCACCGCCUGGGAAUUGAUUCCCUCUCAAUUUCAAACUCAUAUUUGCGGGAAAAGGAAACCGUGUCACAGUCCUAGCCAAAUGCACAGAUUAAAAUAAUGAGCCAGCCCAACAGCCAACCAGCAGGAGUCAUUGCACGAAGCUGUGCCGCUGCCUCCAGGACGGAGCGCGGGGGCCUGAGCAUCCAACGCAGUGAUGCGAGGGGGUGGCAGAGGGGCCUGCCAGGAACGCCGCGUCGCUGGGAAAUCAGGAUGAUUAUCACCUAUUCAGAACCCACUCAGGAACCAACACAAAGUUGAAAAUGAAAUGAUGACUUUGUAUUCUUGUGAUUUUUGGAUCGACUCGUCGCAGUCGCGAGACGAGGAAUCCUGAGGCAGCGAGCGGUGGUGGCCCAGAUCACAGCAAUGUUUAAAAUCAAUAACAACAUUUGAAGUGGGAAUACCAUAGAUGAUACAGAGUGAAUGUAGUCAUUGCUCCUUGAAAGGGGGCAAAUAGCUUUCUAAGCCAAAGCAACACUAACUGCCAGUCUUGGACAAGACACAGGGGUGGCUACAAGUGUCCCAAAGUUGAUUCAAAGCAAUUUUCCUAUUUCUCCUGUGAAAGAAAAAGGGGUCAGAUUCCAAACCUGACAAGCUCUGGGGGCCCGCAUGGCAAGCCUUACAAGCUUGGUGACCAAAAGUGACGACGCUGGAUGGUCUGAUGGCAGAUUUCUAACUGGACAGGCCAUGGCGGGUAGUCACAUCCCAGGCCUGUAUGUCCCUUAGCAAAGGUCAGUCUUUACCUUAAAUGAACCUUGCCUAUUACUCUUCUAGGAUGACACACCUUUGAAAUGUCAGGGUCAUUGUCUCUCCCGACCCAUCGAAGGCACAACCACUGAGACCAGAGCAGGAGGCCACAGACCCCUCAUUCCCUUGUGCUCAUGCACCCUCUCCAUGUGCUGAAAUGUUAGAUAUUUGCUAUCCUGCACCUGCCAACGUAAAAGCACGUGUUUCUUGGUGUUGCUUUUUAUCCAAUCUGAGAUCUCUCCACUUUUCUUUCUCCUGCCCCCUUAACCUACCACCAAUGGA
Molecule: long non-coding RNA, 4781 nt
Organism: Hipposideros armiger (great roundleaf bat)
Lineage: Eukaryota; Metazoa; Chordata; Mammalia; Chiroptera; Hipposideridae
Exons: 3
Source: RefSeq, a predicted model, not a curated record